GUUAGAGUACGCCCAGCUCCAUAACAAUUUAAUUGAAAUGAAUGCCUCUUAUGAUGACUUAACUGUUCCUUUAAAGUUUUGUAAACACCCUAAAAAUGUCAGCCUAUCAUUUUAGAAACCUGCCUUUUUUCUGCUUACUGGAUCACCUUGCAUGUCACCUCCACGAAAGAGCGCAAACAGCAGCAUUACAUUAGGAUACUGACUGCUCAUUAAUUAUCUGAUCUUAACACGUAUUAUUGUUUCUUUUAUUAAUUUAUCCCUGCGUUAUCUAGAAUUCAUCAUAUGCAUCUCACCAUCAAGUUUUAAAUGGAAAAUCUAGGCACAAGACUCACUACAGCGUAAUGUAGUGGUUCUAAAGCAUAGGAUUGUUCUUGCAGGCUCAACACCAUCACAAAGAUUGCAGGACUGACAUUCAGAGUCUCCACGCCCUGCAUGUAGACAC
Molecule: non-coding RNA, 442 nt
Organism: Pelobates cultripes (western spadefoot toad)
Lineage: Eukaryota; Metazoa; Chordata; Amphibia; Anura; Pelobatidae
Source: the annotation of a GenBank genome assembly